This is a long non-coding RNA of Daktulosphaira vitifoliae (grape phylloxera), 1403 nucleotides long. RefSeq lists it as uncharacterized. Lineage: Eukaryota; Metazoa; Arthropoda; Insecta; Hemiptera; Phylloxeridae. The transcript is spliced from 2 exons. The record is from RefSeq and is a predicted model, not a curated record.
UGUGUCAACUUUAAAUUUUAAAGGGUAACAUACAUAUUUCACUAACUUAAAAAAUUAAAAGUUAAAAAAAUGAUUGGUUGAUGACAACUUUUAACACAUCUAAGAAAUUAUAACUAUUUUUAAAUAUAUUGUGGAGGUAAAGUGUAGAUUAUGUUAUUUUACUUUUAAACAUUCCUCUGCCACUCUUUUCCUCCGCUAUAUAUUCUCUAAAAUGAAUUUUCUUUAUAUAAUUAUUAUUUUAAGAAAAAUCGAGUGACUAAUAUUAAAAGAAUCACCUUGUAUACAACAGUUUUAUAACUUUUCAUAACUUCUUCGUAAAAAUUACAACACUAAAUUAAUAAAUAUAAAUUUGUUACUAUAUUUAAUUACUAUGAUAAAUAUUUAUUCAUAUAUUACAUUUAUAAAUCAUAAACUUUUGAUCAGGAUAUAGAUAAAGAAAUUGGAGUUCGUGUUGCUUUAGGAAUAAUUCAAUCAUUCUUUCUAAAAUUAUAUACUAGAGAUUUGAAUCAAAACAAUUGUUAUGAUAAUGAUUUUAAUCACUACCAAAUAUCAUCUGUAAUUGUACCAACUAUGCCACUAUGUCCACUGUGGUUCGACUCCGCUGUGCUGGCUAUUAUUUUUGUUAGAAAUUGAUAAAUGUACAGCAAAAACAUUGCUGAUAAUGUAGAAUAGCGAAAUUGAAAUGUUAGAUGUAAGAGAAUUAAACGAAAACUUGAGUAAUUGGCGCAGGGGUAAGACAAGCCGAAUGACAAGAACAACAAGGCGGAAAGAGAUUUGUUGUCUACUACAAGGGAUGCUGUAACACUGUUUACCCCACUACCUUCGCAAUCAUUUCAAAGGAAAUUGAAAUUGUCAAUUCGUCUAAAGUCGGUGGCGAUGCAUUAAUUUGGUGUCGUCCGGGAUUUUAAACGGUUCCCCUCUCCGACCCAACUGAAUUGAAAUCGACUUAUAUACCCUAUAAACAUGCAACAACAAAUUUAUAAUCCCUACAAGCAAUACAGAAUCUAUACAUUGUGUGCGCUCAGUUGUGUGUUUGCAUGUACCCCUAUUAUAAGUAUUAUGAUCACCUCUCUCAUUUUGGACCCUUUAUCCGUUUGUGUAUGCUGAUUGUUUUUCAAAAUCCGUUUAAAACUUCUUUUUGUACUUUUAAAUUUUUAGAUGAGUCACCUUCACUAUGGUAACUAUAUAAAUAUAUCACGGAUAUACUAACGCGGUCAGUAUACAAUACAAUGUUAUUACACGGUUUUCAAGUUUUAAAGUUUAUAUGGAUUUUACAGCAAACACACAAAAGGAACAAUUUAAAAGCUAUAACAUUCUUUUUGCAUUAUUAUGUGUAAAGACUACAUUAUGUUCAUUUCAUAAUAACAAUUAUAUUAAAAUGAAAUGUUGAGUUGUUUCGAAUA